Molecule: long non-coding RNA, 486 nt
Organism: Teleopsis dalmanni
Lineage: Eukaryota; Metazoa; Arthropoda; Insecta; Diptera; Diopsidae
Exons: 3
Source: RefSeq, a predicted model, not a curated record
AAAAAUUACAAAUUACUCAAAAUCAACAAAUGAUAGUGCUUUCUUCAAUUAUUACUAGAAAACAAAGCAAGUGUUGGACUUUGAAAAGAACGAAGAAAAUUUAGAAAGAAGAUUGUCAAAAAAAAUGGUCCUGAGUUUUUUGAAGAAAAUUUUCGCAUGAGCAUUUAAUCUUUCAAUAAGCUAUGCCAUCUUUUGAAAAAUAUGAAAAAGCAAGACACCUGUUUUAGGUAUGCAAUUUGUUUGAGAAAACGAAUUGCAAUUGCCUUUACUGUCUUGGCUCAUCAGCUGAAUUUAGAAGCAUUGCAAAUCUUUUUGGCGUUGGAAAGGCCACAGUUUAUACCGUUUCCUUUACAUCAAUUGCGAUUAUCCUGGACGAGUUAAUGACUCCUAUAUUUAUGCUAUAUUUAUGAAAACUCAUCACUGAAGUAGCAGUUCGAUAAUUGCAGUGCGCUAUAAGCGAACAGUAAGGUGAUCAAUGGUGUGAAA